AUUCCAGCUCCAAGAGCGUAUAUUAAAGUUGUUGCAGUUAAAAAGCUCGUAGUUGGAUUUCUGGUCUAAUGCGCCUGGCCCGCUGCCGUUAGGUAUGUGAGUGCCGGUGCGCGUUUACCAUCCUUCCAGAGAACACUUCUACCAUUUAUUUGGACGGAUGUUGUCUUCUGGAUCUUUUACUUUGAAAAAAUUAGAGUGUUUAAAGCAGGCCUUUGCUGUGAAUACAUUAGCAUGGAAUAAUAAUCUAGGACUUCGGUUCUAUUUUGUUGGUUUGCACGCCGAAGUAAUGAUUAAUAGGAGCAGUUGGGGAUGUCCGUAUUCGAUUGUCAGGGGUGAAAUUCUUGGAUUUAUUGAAGACGAACUACUGCGAAAGCAUUCAUCAAGGAUGUUUUCAUUG
RNAcentral lists this ribosomal RNA (397 nucleotides) under Cryomonadida sp. RNAcentral's name for it is "partial small subunit ribosomal RNA". It matches the Rfam family "Eukaryotic small subunit ribosomal RNA", at positions 582 to 975 of the family's 1831-position model. Lineage: Eukaryota; Cercozoa; Thecofilosea; Cryomonadida. The record is from RNAcentral.